UUUACACUUUACAGGCUCAGUGCUGUAGAGUUCUGCUGCUGCGGUAUGUCGCAAACUCCUGUUUCGGGCACUUCGUCGAGUAUGUCUACUGACCGUGUUGAAGACCGGGAAGUAGAUGUGUUCGAGAGGUUAAUGCGUUCAUCGCUGAAAGAUGUAUGUAUUGACAGAGAAGGCGACAUCCAUGGAUUUUGCGAGACAGAAGAGGAUGUUGUUCAUCUUCUGAGCAACUUGCGCGUCCAUGGCUACGCAUACUCGGUUAGAAGAAGUGCGUAUUAUCGCCAGCCCCCUUCAGGUGCUGCUAAAUACGAGACAGGCUUCUUCUACAGCCACACAAAAGGCAACAUACCAAUACAGUUUUUUGGCCCUGUUUUCUGUGUUGAAAGCUUAGUGAAGAGAAUGUACUCUUGGCCCGUUAUAUCAUAAAAAGGAGAGUCCUGUUGCAGAUCAUCUGGUGGACCAUGUUAACCCAAAGAAGAAGAGAAAAGUUCUCAUGGACACACAAAAGAAAGGCUGUCCAGCAACAUUGGAUGUUAAGUGUGUCAGGGUAUUCCCCGAUUAUGCGAUAAACUCGGCAACAGACAGUUAAAAAGAAAGUGUACUGUGUUCUUGUGCCACAUUUAAAAGCAGCAUUCAGAUCAGCUUUUUUGGUUCUUUUGUAUUGCAUGGGAGCAAUGGGCAAGCCACAAGCAAAAUUUACAAAAGAGUUGCAGUUGCAGAUCACUUUGGCAACAUCAAGGUGACACAGUUGUCUUCUCCCAGCAGCGAGAGGCAAUGUUGUGAUCAUUCCUCUGAACCACCUCCUCUCGUAGAAAGUGUAAUUGACACACAAUGCUUACCCAGGUGUGGUAGUCCCUACCGUUAAAAAUAAGGUUGCUGUGGCACAUUACCAGGUUGUGUAUCAUCAAGGUUCGUAAUGUGAUAACAUUUAUUUACAUGAAUUCUUAUUACAAGGCAAUUUCUUUAAAUUAAUUUUGCUUUCUGCACUUAGUCAAGACCGUAUCAGUUUAAGGGAAAAUAUAAUGAACACAAAUGAGUGAGUGCUCAGCUACAGUUUCAGACAAAUGGCUGAAUUUUCCAGGUUUUCUGUACAGUGAACAAAUUACCACAUGGAGACAGAAGUUUCUGCAGAAGUGGCCUUGGUGUUCAAGUAAGACAAAGGCAAAUUUCAGAUUUUUUUUUUAAUCAUGAUGCUAUUACAUCAUCCUCAGGAUAAGAUGUAGCUAGUGCACACAUUCUCAAAGUCUGUUAAUGUUUAUAGUGCUGUAGGUCAGGUUUAUAACCAGCCUAGCUAACUGCCUUUCAUCUUGUUCCUCUGAUGAAGUUGAGCACAAUUUCUUCCCACAGCUUCAGAAUUUGCUCACUAUCUCCCGGUUCUAAAUUGUUCUUUUUGCUAAGCCACCAUUGCCAGGCUUGCUUUCGAUGAAAUAAACAAAGAUAAACCCUUGACAUUGGAUAUGUUCCUUCAAUUGCCCAUAUCUCAGGCUCAGAGAAAUCUGUAACCCAUGAAACUGGAUUCCAAUCUGGGUUCCGUGCCUUGAAAAUUUCUAGAGCCUCUUUAAUUGAUGCAGUGUUUUCUACUUGAAUGAAGAAUAUCCCAACUACUAAAUAGCAUACAUUAGCUCUCACUAACAAGAAAAAUAAUGGAAAGUCAUACUUCGUUGUCUUGUAUGUUGCAUCAAGCAAACGUACCCUAAACCCUACCAUACCUUUUCAAAAGUUCCCUUUGCCACUUGUGCUGGUAACAAAAAAGCAAUGGCUGCACUUUUUCAUUGUCAUCUGUAAACGGUCUGAAAAAAAUCUCUCAGCCUUAGAUUCCUUUUCCCACCCAUUAAUUUGAUUCCAUAAUGCAUCUUGGUCAAUAAUAGUUUUCUUCAAAUCAAACAGAGAUCGAUACAUAUGGCUAUAAAUUGUACUAUCUGUUAGGUAAAACAUUAUGUUCAUCCAAUCUGGUCUGUUCCAGCAACACUAAAGUGCACAAACCCCAAAGUGUUAACGAACAAACUUCAGUUAAGUUUUAUUUGCAGCAAGUGUGUUUCUGUAUUGCAUCCUGGUCACUAACUGAUUUCCUUACAACAAAUAAGCUCUGAGCACAUGGGUGUAAGUUGUUUAAUCUGUGUGGUAAAACAAUAUUUUAGAAAAGGUUUUUCAUUUAUAAAACAGUAUCAACUCAAAAAAACUUAUGUACAUUGCUCAUAAUUUGUUGUGUAGUCAAAAUACACAUGUUGGAAUGAAUAAAUUCAAUUAUGUAAUUAUCAUUUCCUUUGGCAAUGAAUCAUAUGAGCUAAACAUGACAUUA
Long non-coding RNA from Schistocerca serialis cubense, 2296 nucleotides. RefSeq lists it as uncharacterized. The transcript has 6 exons. The record is from RefSeq and is a predicted model, not a curated record. Lineage: Eukaryota; Metazoa; Arthropoda; Insecta; Orthoptera; Acrididae.